GGCCUACGGGAGGCAGCAGUAGGGAAUCUCCCACAAUGGGCGCAAGCCCGAUGGAGCAACGCCGCGUGAAUGAAGAAGGUCUUCGGAUCGUAAAAUUCUGUUGUUAGAGAAGAAUAUGAGUAAUAGUAACUGAUUAUUCACUGACGGUAUCUAACCAGCAAGUCACGGCUAACUACGUGCCAGCAGCCGCGGUAAUACGUAGGUGGCAAGCGUUGUCCGGAUUUAUUGGGCGUAAAGGGAUCGCAGGCGGUUUUUUAAGUCUGAUGUGAAAGCCUUCGGCUUAACCAGAGAUGUGCAUUGGAAAA
RNAcentral lists this ribosomal RNA (305 nucleotides) under uncultured bacterium. Its description in RNAcentral is "bacterial SSU rRNA". It matches the Rfam family "Bacterial small subunit ribosomal RNA", at positions 335 to 633 of the family's 1533-position model. The record is from RNAcentral.